CAUUAGGGCAAAGCAUGUGCAGAUCCCCCAUCAAACGGCGCCGUUCAAUGGAUAAUAUAAACUAAAAUGUUUUUUUUUUUACUUCACUUUUCAGAUUUUUUUAAAAAAAUCAGAGGGAGCCUCAGCUUUCUUUCUCAACCCCCCAUUUUCUCAAAUGGCCGACGGUCCUAAGACCUCCGGCGCGCCACCAACAAGGCCAGCGACCGGCGCUGGAAAGCGGGACUGUUAGCCCCUGUCUCAAGGCGUCCUUGAGAGCCAAGACUCUCUCCACCCGUGUGAGUCGAAAACAAAGGAGGUUCUCGGCCUCUUGGGCUCGAUUUGGACGACGGAGGAGAGACCCUCCGAUGACGGAACCAAGGCCACUUCCGGUGUCAGAGGCGUGGCGAUGGCGUGCGAGGAGAUGAAGCGGUGCGCAUGGAAAGAGGCGGCGUGCGAGGAGGUGGAGCGACGCGCAUUGCUGAAGGCGUGCAUGCGGCGCACCCUAGGGCUCCCCAUCCUCUGCUGCUGAAAGCUUUUUUUUUGGGGGCCUGUUGGGUUUGAAUUGGGCUGGCAUAAUUGGGUUUAUUUUUUUUAUGUAAAAUGGACUAUGGGUAUUUUAUUUGUUAUUGGGUCCGAGCGAAAUCUGGGCUUUACAAAUGGUGUUAAAAAAAUAAGAUUUAAUUUACAUUCUGAUAAUUCAAAAAGGAAAAGAAAUCUUAAUGUCAAAGUUAAAAGUGAUAUAAUUUAAAAAUUAAAUCUAUCAUUUUAAGCUUGAAAAUUACAAGCUUAGCUCCUAAUGUUUAUUUAUUUUUAUCA
Gossypium raimondii (Peruvian cotton) is the source of this 795-nucleotide long non-coding RNA. RefSeq lists it as uncharacterized. The record is from RefSeq and is a predicted model, not a curated record. Lineage: Eukaryota; Viridiplantae; Streptophyta; Magnoliopsida; Malvales; Malvaceae. The transcript has 2 exons.